Pelmatolapia mariae (spotted tilapia) is the source of this 894-nucleotide long non-coding RNA. RefSeq lists it as uncharacterized. The transcript has 3 exons. The record is from RefSeq and is a predicted model, not a curated record. Lineage: Eukaryota; Metazoa; Chordata; Actinopteri; Cichliformes; Cichlidae.
CAGGAAUGGAGGAAUGGAAUCAAAGGGAGAUGUUUUUGAUGUUUUUGUAAUGAUGUAAGUAAAUCUUCAAUAUUAUUUAUUUGCUUCGUUAUAUUAGGAGUGUUUCUGAGUGAGGGAGAGAGGAGUCAUCAUCCAGGUAAAGUGACGUGGAUCAGUGGAUACACUUGUCUCCCCUUUAAAGGAGAUACUCUUAGAGAGAGACGAUCUGAGUCAUCCUUAAAUAUGGGCAGGAUAUCAGUCUUGGACUGUCUAACCUGCCGGAGCAGCAAUGAAUGACCACCACACAUGAGCAUGUUCCUGCAACAUUCAGCAUCUGAUCUGCCAUCUGUGUGCUUCUGCUUUUGCUGGAGAGGAAACUACACCAGUGUGCUGGGAUGUUUCAUCAACAUGUGCCAGACGCUGUUCCUUCAUGGUGACAUCACCAGAGACAGCCCCGCCCACCUCAGGACCUCGCCAUUGAUCACGAUGAUUAUAAUAAUGACAGCGAGUGGAACUAAGACUGUAAAAAUCCACGACCAGUGUUUAGAUGCUUUCUAAUUAUUAAUGAAUACUGAGAGCCUCUUUCUGUGUUUUGUCUGUUUUGUUUUGUUUUUACCUCAUUUGUUACUAACAAAGUUCACCAAACUCACACAGUUUACAUUCUGUAUGUUUCCAUCUUUACCAGCCACACUCUAACUGCAAUUAAGAAAACAAACCUUAGAAAUCGUCGUUUUUCUCUUUUGUAAUUGAUGAUAAUUCAGUGAAUAUACUGCGCUGCUUCCUUUUAUUGUGUCACACAUUGCUUUACGUUUUUCAGUGUCCAGUUAUUUUUUACUGUUGUUUGAAUUCUCUGUAUGUUUGACCCUGUAGACUGUUUGAUGGACUGCUUGUCUUCCUGUUUGUAACCACCGCCUG